This 426-nucleotide ribosomal RNA is filed under the name uncultured bacterium. RNAcentral describes it as "bacterial SSU rRNA". It matches the Rfam family "Bacterial small subunit ribosomal RNA", at positions 354 to 796 of the family's 1533-position model. The record is from RNAcentral.
GUGGGGGAUAUUGCACAAUGGGGGAAACCCUGAUGCAGCGACGCCGCGUGUGGGAAGACGGUCCUCUGGAUUGUAAACCACUGUCCUCAGGGACGAACAAGGACGGUACCUGAGGAGGAAGCUCCGGCUAACUACGUGCCAGCAGCCGCGGUAAUACGUAGGGAGCAAGCGUUGUCCGGAAUUACUGGGUGUAAAGGGAGCGUAGGCGGGACCGCAAGUUGGAUGUGAAAUCUACCGGCUCAACUGGUAGCUGCAUUCAAAACUGCGAUUCUUGAGUGAAGUAGAGGCAGGCGGAAUUCCUAGUGUAGCGGUGAAAUGCGUAGAUAUUAGGAGGAACACCAGUGGCGAAGGCGGCCUGCUGGGCUUUUACUGACGCUGAGGCUCGAAAGUGUGGGGAGCAAACAGGAUUAGAAACCCUAGUAGUCC